RNAcentral lists this long non-coding RNA (835 nucleotides) under Pan troglodytes (chimpanzee). RNAcentral describes it as "lncRNA (ENSPTRG00000053647.1)". Lineage: Eukaryota; Metazoa; Chordata; Mammalia; Primates; Hominidae. The record is from RNAcentral.
CAUCUUCCGCCACUCAGCUGAACAACGUGCUGCCAGAGCCUGCGGGGACAGUGACGUCUGCUUCUCCUUCCUUUCUCUCCCUUCCCCGCCCCGAUCUUUCCAAAAGAAGCCUGUGUUUCUGUUGUAGUUUUUUGUUUUGCGCCGAGUCUCGCUCUGUCGCCCAGGCUGGAGUGCAGUCGCAUGAUCUCUGCUUCCUGCAACCUCCGCCUCCAGGGUUGAAGCCAUUCUCCUGCCUCAGGCUUCUGCGUAGCUGGGUUUACAGGAGCACACCACCAAGCCCUGCUAAUUUUUGUAUUUUUAGUAGAGACGGGGUUUCACCAUGUUGGCCAGGCUGAUCUCCAACUCCUGACCUCAGGUGAUCCGCCGGCCUCGGCCUCCCAAAGUGCUGGGAUUACAGGCUGAGCCAUCACGCCUGCCCAGAAGCCGGUUCUUAGCCUGUGUUGCCGAGGACCUCUUUGGCAGAUAGCUGGAGCCUGUCCACCCUUCUUCAAAUAAUGGUUUGUAAUGCGCAGACUAAAACAUGUGGGAUUACACAAGAAACUGGUUCUCUUCCCAUCAUUAUUCUUGUGAUGUAGCAUUCUACUUGAAAUUGGAAGCCGUUCAAUAUCAGAAAGAAACCAUAUUUAUGAAACUAGAGACGCUGCUCAGAUGGCUGCAAACCAGCCAUCCUUGCUUGUUUUACAAUUUCAUGAAUCUUGUAGGGUUUUUUCAAGUACAGCAAUGUACAAAUAUGUUGCCCCAGCAGAGCACACUGGACACUCAGAAUACAAUCCCAAACUCUGACAAUACUCCAGAGACUCCAAAUCUAUCAGGUGUGUGCAUGCUGUUGUGUUGA